Molecule: long non-coding RNA, 512 nt
Filed under: Homo sapiens (human)
Lineage: Eukaryota; Metazoa; Chordata; Mammalia; Primates; Hominidae
Description: long non-coding RNA NONHSAT066816
Source: RNAcentral
GUGGGCAGCCGGACGUACCCUGGCAGGGAGCAGCAGGUGGCGGCGGUGCAUGGGGCCUGGCCCCACCAGCGGGCACUGGCCCACAGCCACGGCCGGGGGGCCAUCUAGCUGGAGAGAGAAGGGACAGGUGUCUAUACACGCCCCGCGGAGCAGACGGCCCACCUCCUCCCGGUCCUCCGGGGAAGGGGACACAUGAGGGACUCACCUGUGGCUCCCUCUGCCUGCAGCAACUCCAUCCGCUCCUGCAACUGCCGGACGUGUGCCUCUAGGUCCCGGUUCCGAGCCUCUGCCUCGCGUAGUUGACUGUGGGGAGGAACAAAUCAGGAUUCCCACCUGCCCAAGGCCUUUGCCCUGGAGGCUCUCGCCUGACCACUUGGCACCUUUCCUUCCAUGGCUUGUUUCUCCUUCACCAGCGCUCAGCUCAAAGAUCGACUUCUCAGAUCCCCAGCAACACACACACCCUUACUUAAUGCCCCACUGUAACUACAGAGACCGUCCCAUGUCUGAAGUAA